This 492-nucleotide ribosomal RNA is filed under the name uncultured bacterium. RNAcentral's name for it is "partial 16S ribosomal RNA". It matches the Rfam family "Bacterial small subunit ribosomal RNA", at positions 29 to 507 of the family's 1533-position model. The record is from RNAcentral.
AGUGAACGCUGGCGGUAGGCCUAACACAUGCAAGUCGAACGGCAGCACAGUAAGAGCUUGCUCUUACGGGUGGCGAGUGGCGGACGGGUGAGGAAUACAUCGGAAUCUACUUUUUCGUGGGGGAUAACGUAGGGAAACUUACGCUAAUACCGCAUACGACCUACGGGUGAAAGCAUGGGAUCUUCGGACCUUGCGCGAUUGACUGAGCCGAUGUCGGAUUAGCUAGUUGGCUGGGUAAAGGCCCACCAAGGCGACGAUCCGUAGCUGGUCUGAGAGGAUGAUCAGCCACACUGGAACUGAGACACGGUCCAGACUCCUACGGGAGGCAGCAGUGGGGAAUAUUGGACAAUGGGCGCAAGCCUGAUCCAGCCAUACCGCGUGGGUGAAGAAGGCCUUCGGGUUGUAAAGCCCUUUUGUUGGGAAAGAAAAGCAGCAGGUUAAUACCCCGCUGUUCUGACGGUACCCAAAGAAUAAGCACCGGCUAACUUCGUG